GUGCUUGGGGUAGUAAACAGAUAUGGGCUCGAAACUUAAAGAAUUUGGCGGUACCUAAGUCUGGUUAGAGGAACCUGUGCUGUAAACGAUAAACCACGAAUAUCUUACUUUACGUUGAAAUUUCAGUACGUAUACCGCCAUUAUUAGAUAAUCUUUGAAGGGGUUUGUCGGAAUAAAUUGAGAAUUUUGGAUAUUAGGUCAAGGUGCGGCUAAUAGUAAAGUUGACAUGGGUUACAUUGAGAUUAGUUGGUGCGGAUAGGUCUGGGUAAUCGCAGAU
Molecule: ribosomal RNA, 277 nt
Filed under: Leptalpheus sp. d JS-2023
Lineage: Eukaryota; Metazoa; Arthropoda; Malacostraca; Decapoda; Alpheidae
Description: partial small subunit ribosomal RNA
Source: RNAcentral